This 20-nucleotide unclassified non-coding RNA is filed under the name Chlamydomonas reinhardtii. Its description in RNAcentral is "small RNA Cre_0827". Lineage: Eukaryota; Viridiplantae; Chlorophyta; Chlorophyceae; Chlamydomonadales; Chlamydomonadaceae. The record is from RNAcentral.
AUUUCGCGGGUUUAAAAACG